Molecule: ribosomal RNA, 452 nt
Filed under: uncultured bacterium
Lineage: Bacteria
Description: bacterial SSU rRNA
Rfam family: Bacterial small subunit ribosomal RNA
Source: RNAcentral
AGCCAGACUCCUACGGGAGGCAGCAGUGGGGAAUAUUGGGCAAUGGGCGCAAGCCUGACCCAGCAACGCCGCGUGAAGGAAGAAGGCUUUCGGGUUGUAAACUUCUUUUCUGAGGGACGAAGCAAGUGACGGUACCUUAGGAAUAAGCCUCGGCUAACUACGUGCCAGCAGCCGCGGCAAUACGUAGGAGGCAAGCGUUAUCCGGAAUGACUGGGCGUAAAGGGUGCGUAGGUGGUUCAGCAAGUUAGUAGCGUAACUCCGGGGCUCAACCUCGGCACUACUACUAAAACUGUUGGACUUGAGUGCAGGAGGGGCAACUGGAAUUCCUAGUGUAGCGGUGGAAUGCGUAGAUAUUAGGAGGAACACCAGUGGCGAAGGCGAGUUGCUGGACUGUAACUGACACUGAGGCACGAAAGCGUGGGGAGCAAACAGGAUUAGAUACCCUCGUAUAC